AGGAGCGACGGAGACAAGGAGAGGAGGGAGGGAAAAAGACAGAAAGAUCAGGAAGGGUCUGCUUUUUUUUUUAAACUGUGAUGUAACUGCUUACAGGUAAAGGUGGGAGGUAAACCAAGGGGAUGCUGGGAAUGUAUGGCUAUUACCAUGGCAACAAGUGCGUGCAUGCGUCCCUGUCACCUAUGGAUGACAUCGCCACUGGUUUCAGAGGCAACAGCAAGUGUAAGGCUUGGCGAAAGCUGUUGUCCACACGAUAUCUUAUAGAACUAACGCUUACGGAACGAGGAAGCAAGGAAAGCUGUACCAACAGAUGAACCAGACAUGGCAGACGUGUAUCUGCUAAAAGAUACUUUCUUCCUAAUCCACAGUUUUCAAAUACUCCUGUCCGGAAAGUACUGUCAACAUGGUGUCCACACCCAGGGCCAAUAUGCAUCAGAAGGCAGAAUUCCUGCCCCAGCCCCAACCCCACCAGUCCUACACAGGCCUGGUUGCCUUGCUUUCCUUCUCCAGGCUGCAGAGAGGGAGGGCAGUAUGGCUCCGAAGGAAAUCAGAGAAGAGAUGUUCACCCAUGGCUGGGGCCAGUUCUUAACCUUAGAUUGGAAAAAAGGAAAGAAGAGGGGGAGAAAUCAGGGUGCACCUCUGAGAUAAAGACCACGAGGACAAUAGUGGAGCAAACGAAGUACUUCAUACAGAAAUGCCAAGGGAGACCUGGCCUCAGCGUCCCUGGAUGGCUAGCGGGUGGUGGUUGCUCCCUAACCAUGCGGUAAAGCAGAGGUGCGAAUCUCGGAUUUCUAACAGAAAGCUCACUCCCUUGUAGCUCCACAACUAGUGGUUUCUUUGUGAGUCAUAGUUUGUGCUUAUAGAAAUAUUCACAGACAAAAUAUCGUAGAAGGUUAGCGUUUGAAGAAUAAAACCUUCAUCCUCCCUCUACCACUUCAUCCUUUAGAACUUUUGACACCUAAAACAUCAAAAGCUGGAUUUCAUUCUGCUUUUCUAGGGUCGAAGUAAAGAAGUUCACAUUUCAUACUGCAUAAGUAGCCUGAAGAAUUUGUAUGAAAUAAACAUUUUGUUAUAAUCAACAACUUCUUUUAAAGAACAGAACACUUCCGCUACCUCAGAUACGUCUCCUCGCUUUAUCCCAGGAAACAACUGGAAGGCAGUCAUUCUGUCCGUUCCAGUCUUGAACAGCUGUAUAUGCUUCUGUCCUUAGGAGAAGAAAAUCAUUUAUUCUAGGUUCAGCAUUCUCUACUCAGCCACAAAUCAUCAUCCAAGCAUGGGCCUUCUCUCUGUGAAGAGUCCGUGUAAGAAGUGACAUAGAAAGUCUUCAGCUUGUAAGGGGAUUGAGCACUUGCUGUGGGAAAAAAAUCGCAAACCCCUCAGAAAUUAGCAUUUCCAAGUGGAACUAUCGUGGGAAACUUCAGAAAACAAAACAAACAAACAAAAGAAGUGAAAUUAUGAAGGAGUUCAGUGGAACUCCGAGGUAUUUUUCCUAGAAGGUUCUCAGUUCCUUUUCCUAACGAGGCUCACAGCUCUGUUGAGUAGAUUGUUGAGCAGAGAACGAAGCCAUCGCCAUAUUUUCUCAGCCACAGAAAAGGUACCUAAAGGAGAACAUUGUGUAACUUGGACAGAAAUGAAAUCCACCGAUACCCUACCAAUUCCAAUUGGCGCCUCAGACAACUGAGUACAGGUGGAGAGAGAUUAUCUUAGGUUAGGAGGAAGAGCCACACCAAACUUCAACAUACAGGGAAGACUCAGUCAGUCUCGACAAUGAGCAAAAGAAAUUCACACAAAACAGCACAUCUGGAGAGAGAGUGAAACUGACAGACUUCUCUGGAAAUACACCCAUGGAAUCGACCGAGGACUCUGACGGAGUUGUCCAAUAGCCACGUUUACUAUGGCCAAGGGGAUAGGGAAACGACGAGUGCUCUGUCUCUGCUUCCUCUUACUUGAAGCAAUCAUUAAGAGAGUCUCUGUCAGUCACCCUGCAAAAGCAAAGACUCCAAACGGUUGAUCCCCAGUUGCCACUUUUCUCUGCUCUAAGUCCACAAGCCAUGAGGCCUCAGCUUGGGAACAAGCAAUGAACAGCAGCAAAGCCUCAAGUAACCACCCCCAACCUUGUCCCAACCUUACUUCCCGUCCCAUGGUACGUAUAGUCUCAAGAACUUUCGAAGGGUCUCUGUUAUACAUCCGGGUUUCACAUGGAGAGAAAUCAGCAGGCCAAGGCUCAUUUAAAGGCUAUUUACGUAAAGCUGACUCUCCCCUCCUGUUGAAAGUUUGGACUUCUGACUGAGUCUUACCAUGUCUUGGAUGAGCCUUAUCAUCCAAGCCUUCGAUACACUUGGUAGCUCUUCAACACUGGCGGUUGUUGCUGUUUUCACUUCUGUGUUCCUUCACCAGCCUGUACAACAGAUCCCUUUGUUUUCUGAUGCUUUAUUCAUAUGGGUACAAACUGUCUCGACAGCAAUCGUUUUCCAUGGUAAGAAUGCAUCUGCUUCACAAGUUACUUCACUGACCUGAAUGCUGACACGAACACAUCCGCCUGGCCCAGCAGGAAGCAGAAGAAAGGACUUUUCAGACAUUAUCUUUCUCUGCCCCUGGAGAAAGCAGAGGACAAACCCAGAGGUUUGAAACAGGCGCCAUUUUGUAAAGUUAGGCCUGGCCUCUGGGAAAAUCAGCAAUAUAUUGGGAAACAGGUGUGACGUAAAAAAAAAUAGCUGCUUUCAUUUCCCAUAAAGCAGACAGGAUUGAAGCCACAGUUAGGGCCGUUAGUACGAAGGAAUGGAGAUCCAAAUAAACCAGUGUUUGCAAAGCCCUGAGUUCACUCCAUGACACCUCAACAAGAAGAUACAACUUUUAAAUAAAAACUGCUGGCCAACUGCGAAUAGGAUGUCCGUGCACAGUGUACUCAACUGUGUAUUGUCUCAAUUUUACUGACACAUCACAACAGGGACGCAAGACAAAUGUUUUCUAUUUCAGACGAGUAAAGGUAAACUAUAUUCAGAUUUCUCCCCUCAGUGACUGUCCUCCUGGUGGGGUGACUUCAUGGAGGGCUUGUGUGUCAUGGUCUGUUUGUUUGCUCUGCCUCCGCCCACUCCUUCCCUCCCACUCGCUCCCAAACCCACCCUCAAGCUUCCACACAGCUGUGGAGGACAACUCAAAUAGAUAUAUUCUUAUUGAUGAUUUGAAUAAA
Molecule: non-coding RNA, 3190 nt
Organism: Rattus norvegicus (Norway rat)
Lineage: Eukaryota; Metazoa; Chordata; Mammalia; Rodentia; Muridae
Source: RefSeq, a predicted model, not a curated record